Apis cerana (Asiatic honeybee) is the source of this 1759-nucleotide long non-coding RNA. RefSeq lists it as uncharacterized. The record is from RefSeq and is a predicted model, not a curated record. Lineage: Eukaryota; Metazoa; Arthropoda; Insecta; Hymenoptera; Apidae.
GUUUUCCGAUCCCGAGGCGGCUAAUGAGCGGCUGGAAUGUCAAGCUGGAAUGUUAAUCGGCCGGAAUUCAUCAAUCACUCGAACGAGAGAAAAUGUGGAACGACGUGUGAUUUACGAAAACUAAAUCAGAUACGUAGAACGCGGAGAACGGAUAUAAAUCAUAAUUAGGCCGGCCGGCAAAAAGUCGCGGGAUCCCGAUAUAUCGUUUCCAUCUCGUUGUUUCGAUCCUUCCCCCUCUCUUUUCCCUCCUCCCACCUAGCCAACGAAUCAGCAAUUAUCACCUCGAUGAGAAUUAAUUCGUGAAAUCACUCAUUACUCUUCGAUAUCGCAAACUUUGCAAACUUUUUAAUCAAGAGUUGAAAGUCAACGAGAAAAAUUCUAUUCCAUUACCAUUUAAGGAUCUUAAAAAUCCUUCUCCUCGAUACGAAGUAACAAAAUGUUCGGUUUGUUCGGAGAGUAAUUUCGUUUUUUCACACGAGCGUCGCUACAGUCGGAUGUUUAUCCAGCCAACUUCAUUCCAAACCGUGUCGUCGUUAUACGCGUAUUCCGAAAGUCGGAAUUCGUUUGAUUCCGUGCGAUCGCGUUUUAAUUAUUUUAUUUUUACCGAGAAGAAGAAGAAGAAGAAGAAGAAGAAGAAGAAGAAGAAGAAGAAGAAGAAGAAGGACGUUAAAUACGUGCAAGUUGACGAAGACAAAAAAAAAUUUGAUUAGGCAAAAUUUCGAUCGAAUUCGAUCGAGCUUGCACUCUUCUCUCGGAAGAAAAAUAUAACAAUACGACAACUGAACAACUGAGUAACGAAGUAUCGUGUUCGAUCAGCAAUUGAAGCAGCGUGAAGCAAUAUCCUCCCAUCGAAGGUUCCCCUCGGUAAGAAACAAGCUAGCUGGAAGGGGCAAGGUGUCGCUUCGCUUGGGCGAGAUGAUUGACAAGUAUGCAAUUCUGGGUGAGGCAAAGGACGCGGCAGAGCGAAAAGUAGCGAAGCUAUUCUGCUGCGGUUGGUGUUUCCUCCUCUUCCUCCUCCUCCUCCUCCACCGCCGCCGCCUCUGCGCUCGAGACGCCAGACUCGGCCACCCUCCCCCUCUCCCUCGUGUCGGGCAUAUCAUUAAUCUUGCCGUGUUUUCUCGCGCACUCGGAUGUGGAUUUAGAGGCGAGACUCGGCCAAGAUCCAUGGAAACGUAGGUGAGCGCGUCCCGAAACGGAGCCGGGGGCCGUUUGUCUUCAUUCGAGGAACUCGAUCGAAGGCCUUCCCUUCCGGUUUCAUUCCGUCCACCGGAUGUCGCGGUGCGCAAUUCGAUUUCCUCUUCUGGUGAAAGAGUAAUCCAUGCAAUUUUGUGCAUCGGAAAGUUUGUUCGAGUUCGUUUGGUGGAAUUUUUUUUUUUUUUUUUUGGUGCGUUCGACGAAAAUAAUGGUGUAGUUGUUCCGUGCGACGAGAAUAAGAUUUGAAUUUAUUCGCGCGGAGAAGGAUUCAAGAAAACCCGUGCCGCCACUCUUUCACGAUCGGCCGUGAAUAAAAGGAUGGAAGAGCUCGAAUUGAAAAAGAUGAGACGAGGGACCCUUCUUGCAUGCAUCGCCUCUUUUUCCUCUCUCGUCUGUCCUCGUUGAUGUCGUCCGCCUGGAAAAUAAAGAAUUACCGGUUAAUGGGUUAUAGUCUUAUCUUUCUUAUCUUGUUAUUUGUUGUAGAAAAAAAAAAUAUAUAUAUAUAUAUAUAAUAAUUCGAAAGAUGUAAAAAGUAAUAUGAACGAUUAAAGGAACGACGAGUAAA